This 639-nucleotide long non-coding RNA is filed under the name Mytilus galloprovincialis (Mediterranean mussel). Lineage: Eukaryota; Metazoa; Mollusca; Bivalvia; Mytilida; Mytilidae. The record is from RNAcentral.
CAGAGAGAAUGGCUGUGAAGGCUCUAGCUGUUUCUGGUUUGGUUGGGUUCCUGGUAUGGUUGGUCUAACUAAUUAAAUAUAUAUAUACAUACACACAUAUAUAUAACAAUCCAGAGUAUAACCACUCUGUAGAUUCAGUCGACUAGUUUAAAAACUAUCAUUAGCAUAUAGCUCAUUCAGGCUUACAAAGGGUCUCAAUAAAAGAACACCUAUAAAAUUAUGUAGCCUUAAUUCAACACAACAUCUAUUUAAAAUAACCAUCUGUAUAUAAAUACUAGUGGUUAUUAUCGUCACCAAGACAUAUAUUUCUUUGACUAAUUAAAACUAUAGGUAUAAUUUACCCUCUACAUAUAUUGUCACCAACUAUUACCACCCAAACUGAGUCACCGAGAUUUACUCCCAGCUUCUCCCAAAUUCGUCUCCUUAAUUUCCUCCAAAAGUCUCCCUAAUUGUCUCCUUAAUUUCCUCCAAAAGUCUCCCUAAUUGUCUCCUUAAUUUCCUCCUAAAGUCUCCCCAAUUCGUCUCCUUAAUUUCCUCCUAAAUUCUCCGAGAUUUUCAAGUUUGGUGUUUCAUAACAUUCAAUUCCAAACCACAACAAUUACUGCUUUCCGUAGUUGAUCAUUUUAGUUUUAUAAGAAU